CAUAGCGACUAUCGUGGCAUAUCAAUAAGCGGAGGAAAAGAAACUAACAAGGAUUCCCCUAGUAACGGCGAGUGAAGCGGGAAGAGCUCAAAUUUGAAAUCUUAAAGGGUUUCCCUUGACGAAUUGUAGUUUAUAGAAGUGUUUUCUGUUAGUGGAGUUCGGUAAAAGUUCUUUGGAAUAGGACAUCAUAGAGGGUGAGAAUCCCGUAUUUGACCGUUACUUCCCUAGCUGUGUGAUACACUUUCAAAGAGUCGGAUUGUUUGGGAAUGCAGUCCAAAAUGGGUGGUAAAUUUCAUCUAAAGCUAAAUAUUGGCGAGAGACCGAUAGCGAACAAGUACCGUGAGGGAAAGAUGAAAGAGAACUUUGAAAAGAGAGUUAAACAGUACGUGAAAUUGUCAAAAGGGAAGCGUUUGACACCAGUGUUGUUUAGUUGAAAAUCAAUUCAAUAAUUUUUGAUUUUGAAGUAGUAUUGACUUCAUCAGCUUGCUGCUUUCUUUUCGGAAAAUUAUUGAAUGCACUUUUCAGUUAACAAGUCAACAUCAAUUUCUUUUGUUGUAAAAGGGUAAGAGGAAGGUGGCUUACGCUUCGGCGUAAGUGUUUAUAGCCUUUUACCUCUGCAGUCGGAGAGAUUGAGGUCAGCAGCGUAGACUCCUUCGGGGGUUAGAUACACUUGUGCUAAGCUAUAGCCUUGUAUAGACAACUUGUUGACUAUGCUCAGUCAUGUAGCUUACUCGCUUGUGCUAUUUUACCUACGCUUAGGAUGUUGAUAGUCACAGCGUGUAC
This 783-nucleotide ribosomal RNA is filed under the name uncultured Neocallimastigales. RNAcentral describes it as "partial large subunit ribosomal RNA". It matches the Rfam family "Eukaryotic large subunit ribosomal RNA", at positions 22 to 631 of the family's 3401-position model. The record is from RNAcentral. Lineage: Eukaryota; Fungi; Neocallimastigomycota; Neocallimastigomycetes; Neocallimastigales.